GACGAACGCUGGCGGCGUGCCUAAUACAUGCAAGUUGAGCGCUGAAGGUUGGUACUUGUACCAACUGGAUGAGCAGCGAACGGGUGAGUAACGCGUGGGGAAUCUGCCUUUGAGCGGGGGACAACAUUUGGAAACGAAUGCUAAUACCGCAUAAAAACUUUAAACACAAGUUUUAAGUUUGAAAGAUGCAAUUGCAUCACUCAAAGAUGAUCCCGCGUUGUAUUAGCUAGUUGGUGAGGUAAAGGCUCACCAAGGCGAUGAUACAUAGCCGACCUGAGAGGAUGAUCGGCCGCAUUGGGACUGAGACACGCCCCAAACUCCUACGGGAGGCAGCAGUAGGGAAUCUUCAGCAAUGGACGAAAGUCUGACCGAGCAACGCCGCGUGAGUGAAGAAGGUUUUCGGGUCGUAAAACUCGGUUGGUGGAGAAGAACGUUGGUGAGAGUGGAAAGCUCAUCAAGUGACGGUAACUACCCAGAAAGGGACGGCUAACUACGUG
Molecule: ribosomal RNA, 497 nt
Filed under: uncultured bacterium
Lineage: Bacteria
Description: partial 16S ribosomal RNA
Rfam family: Bacterial small subunit ribosomal RNA
Source: RNAcentral